Molecule: ribosomal RNA, 1438 nt
Filed under: metagenome
Description: bacterial SSU rRNA
Rfam family: Bacterial small subunit ribosomal RNA
Source: RNAcentral
UUAACACAUGCAAGCCGAGGGGUAAGGCUCUUUCGGGAGUACACGACCGGCGCACGGGUGAGUAACACGUAUGCAACCUACCUUUAACUGGGGCAUAGCUCAGAGAAAUCUGAAUUAAUACCCCAUAAUAUUUCGAAAUCGCAUGGUUUUGGAAUUAAAGCUACGGCGGUUAAAGAUGGGCAUGCGGGACAUUAGCUAGUUGGUAAGGUAACGGCUUACCAAGGCUACGAUGUCUAUGGGGUCUUAAAGGAUGGUCCCACACACUGGUACUGAGACACGGACCAGACUCCUACGGGAGGCGGCAGUGAGGAAUAUUGGUCAAUGGGUGAAAGCCUGAACCAGCCAUGCCGCGUGCAGGAUGAAUGCCCUAUGGGUUGUAAACUGCUUUUGUACAGGAAGAAACUCCCUGAUGUAUCAGGGCCUGACGGUACUGUACGAAUAAGCAUCGGCUAACUCCGUGCCAGCAGCCGCGGUAAUACGGAGGAUGCAAGCGUUAUCCGGAUUUAUUAGGUUUAAAGGGUACGUAGGCGGAUUAUUAAGUCAGUGGUGAAAUCCUACAGCUUAACUGUAGAACUGCCAUUGAAACUGAUAAUCUUGAGUACAGUUGAGGUAGGCGGUAUGUGUCAUGUAGCGGUGAAAUGCAUAGAUAUGACACAGAACACCGAUUGCGAAGGCAGCUUACUAAACUGAUACUGACGCUGAUGCACGAAAGCGUGGGGAGCGAACAGGAUUAGAUACCCUGGUAGUCCACGCCGUAAACGAUGAUUACUCGUUGUGUGCGAUACAUUGUACGCGACUGAGCGAAAGCAUUAAGUAAUCCACCUGGGGAGUACGUUCGCAAGAAUGAAACUCAAAGGAAUUGACGGGGGCCCGCACAAGCGGAGGAACAUGUGGUUUAAUUCGAUGAUACGCGAGGAACCUUACCUGGGCUUAAAUGCAGAACGACGUUCUUGGAAACUUGAACUCCCUUCGGGGCGGACUGCAAGGUGCUGCAUGGUUGUCGUCAGCUCGUGCCGUGAGGUGUCGGGUUAAGUCCCAUAACGAGCGCAACCCCUAUCGUUAGUUGCCAGCUGGUAAAGCAGGGGACUCUAACGAAACUGCCAGUGUAAACUGUGAGGAAGGUGGGGAUGACGUCAAAUCAGCAUGGCCCUUAUGUCCAGGGCUACACACGUGUUACAAUGGCCAGAACAAAGGGACGCUACUUGGUAACAAGAUGCAAAUCUCUAAAUCUGGUCUCAGUUCGGAUCGGAGUCUGCAACUCGACUUCGUGAAGUUGGAUUCGCUAGUAAUCGUAUAUCAGCAAUGAUACGGUGAAUACGUUCCCGGGCCUUGUACACACCGCCCGUCAAGCCAUGGAAGCUUGGGGUACCUGAAGUCUGUAACCGCAAGGAGCGGCCUAAGGUAAAACAAGUGACUGGGGCUAAGUCGGAACAAGGUA